UACGUAGGCAGCGAGCGUUGUUCGGAGUUACUGGGCGUAAAGAGUGCGUAGGCGGUUUUCUAAGUUUGGUGUGAAAUCUCCCGGCUCAACUGGGAGGGUGCGCCGAAGACUGGAAGGCUUGAGUAUGGGAGAGGUAAGCGGAAUUCCUGGUGUAGCGGUGAAAUGCGUAGAUAUCAGGAGGAACACCGGUGGCGAAGGCGGCCUUGUGGACGGUGACUGACGCUGAGGCGCGAAGGCGUGGGGAGCGAACGGG
Molecule: ribosomal RNA, 253 nt
Filed under: uncultured bacterium
Lineage: Bacteria
Description: partial 16S ribosomal RNA
Rfam family: Bacterial small subunit ribosomal RNA
Source: RNAcentral